GAUGAACGCUGACAGAAUGCUUAACACAUGCAAGUCGAUGGGGAAGUGGUGCUUGCACCAUGGCAACCAUGGCGGACGGGUGAGUAACGCGUAAGGGACUUACCUGCAGGACUGGGAUAACAGGGGGAAACUCCUGACAAGACCGGAUAAUGUCAUGGAGCUGCAUGGCUUUAUGAUGAAAGGAGACGCCUGCGGAGAGCCUUGCGUCCUAUUAGCUAGUUGGUGAGGUAAUGGCUCACCAAGGCGAAGAUAGGUAGCCGGCCUGAGAGGGUGGACGGCCACAAGGGGACUGAGAUACGGCCCUUACUCCUACGGGAGGCAGCAGUGGGGAAUAUUGGACAAUGGGGGCAACCCUGAUCCAGCAAUUCUGUGUGGAAGAAGAAGGUUUUCGGAUUGUAAAGUGCUUUCAGCAGGGAAGAAGUAAGUGACGGUACCUGCAGAAGAAGCGACGGCUAAAUACGUG
Molecule: ribosomal RNA, 463 nt
Filed under: uncultured bacterium
Lineage: Bacteria
Description: partial 16S ribosomal RNA
Rfam family: Bacterial small subunit ribosomal RNA
Source: RNAcentral